This 1428-nucleotide ribosomal RNA is filed under the name Arctic sea ice associated bacterium ARK10148. Its description in RNAcentral is "16S ribosomal RNA". It matches the Rfam family "Bacterial small subunit ribosomal RNA". The record is from RNAcentral. Lineage: Bacteria; Pseudomonadati; Pseudomonadota; Gammaproteobacteria.
ACACAUGCAAGUCGAGCGGUACAGGCCUUCGGGUGCUGACGAGCGGCGGACGGGUGAGUAAUGCAUAGGAAUCUGCCUGAUAGUGGGGGAUAGCCCGGGGAAACCCGGAUUAAUACCGCAUACGCCCUACGGGGGAAAGGAUGGGCUCUUCGGACCAUUCGCUAUCAGAUGAGCCUAUGUCGGAUUAGCUAGUUGGUAGGGUAAAGGCCUACCAAGGCGACGAUCCGUAACUGGUCUGAGAGGAUGAUCAGUCACACUGGAACUGAGACACGGUCCAGACUCCUACGGGAGGCAGCAGUGGGGAAUAUUGGACAAUGGGGGCAACCCUGAUCCAGCCAUGCCGCGUGUAUGAAGAAGGCCUUCGGGUUGUAAAGUACUUUCAGUGGUGAGGAAGGGGAUAGCUUUAAUAGAGUUGUUCAUUGACGUUAGCCACAGAAGAAGCACCGGCAAACUCCGUGCCAGCAGCCGCGGUAAUACGGAGGGUGCGAGCGUUAAUCGGAAUUACUGGGCGUAAAGCGCGCGUAGGCGGUGACAUCAGCGAGAUGUGAAAUUCCCGGGCUUAACCUGGGGACUGCAUUUCGAACUGUGUCGCUAGAGUUUUGGAGAGGAGAGUAGAAUUCCCAGUGUAGCGGUGAAAUGCGUAGAGAUUGGGAGGAAUACCAGUGGCGAAGGCGGGUCUCUGGCCAAGAACUGACGCUGAGGUGCGAAAGCGUGGGAUCAACAGGAUUAGAUACCCUGGUAGUCCACGCUGUAAACGAUGAACACUAGCCGUUGGGGAAUUUAAUUCCUAAGUGGCGCAGCUAACGCGAUAAGUGUUCCGCCUGGGAAGUCCGCCCGCAAGGUUAAAACUCAAAUGAAUUGACGGGGGCCCGCACAAGCGGUGGAGCAUGUGGUUUAAUUCGACGCAACGCGAAGAACCUUACCUGGCCUUGACAUCCUGCGAACUUGGUAGAGAUACCUUGGUGCCUUCGGGAGCGCAGAGACAGGUGCUGCAUGGCUGUCGUCAGCUCGUGUUGUGAAAUGUUGGGUUAAGUCCCGUAACGAGCGCAACCCUUAUCCUUAUUUGCCAGCGGGUCAUGCCGGGAACUUUAGGGAGACUGCCGGUGACAAACCGGAGGAAGGUGGGGACGACGUCAAGUCAUCAUGGCCCUUACGGCCAGGGCUACACACGUGCUACAAUGGGACGUACAGAGGGAUGCAAAGCCGCGAGGUGGAGCGAAUCUCACAAAGCGUCUCGUAGUCCGGAUUGGAGUCUGCAACUCGACUCCAUGAAGUCGGAAUCGCUAGUAAUCGCGAAUCAGAAUGUCGCGGUGAAUACGUUCCCGGGCCUUGUACACACCGCCCGUCACACCAUGGGAGUGGAUUGCACCAGAAGUAGAUAGUCUAACCUUCGGGGGGACGUUUACCACGGUGUGGUUCACGACUGGG